RNAcentral lists this ribosomal RNA (512 nucleotides) under bacterium enrichment culture clone ALO1_GLFRUDD03F2RL8. RNAcentral describes it as "bacterial SSU rRNA". It matches the Rfam family "Bacterial small subunit ribosomal RNA", at positions 9 to 517 of the family's 1533-position model. The record is from RNAcentral.
GAGUUUGAUCGUGGCUCAGAUUGAACGCUGGCGGCAGGCCUAACACAUGCAAGUCGAGCGGAUGACGGGAGCUUGCUCCUUGAUUCAGCGGCGGACGGGUGAGUAAUGCCUGGGAAUCUGCCUGGUAGUGGGGGACAACGUUUCGAAAGGAACGCUAAUACCGCAUACGUCCUACGGGAGAAAGCAGGGGACCUUCGGGCCUUGCGCUAUCAGAUGAGCCUAGGUCGGAUUAGCUAGUUGGUGGGGUAAUGGCUCACCAAGGCGACGAUCCGUAACUGGUCUGAGAGGAUGAUCAGUCACACUGGAACUGAGACACGGUCCAGACUCCUACGGGAGGCAGCAGUGGGGAAUAUUGGACAAUGGGCGAAAGCCUGAUCCAGCCAUGCCGCGUGUGUGAAGAAGGUCUUCGGAUUGUAAAGCACUUUAAGUUGGGAGGAAGGGCAGUAAGUUAAUACCUUGCUGUUUGACGUUACCGACAGAAUAAGCACCGGCUAACUCUGUGCCAGCAGCCG